GUACACUCCUACGGGAGGCAGCAGUGGGGAAUAUUGGACAAUGGGCGCAAGCCUGAUCCAGCCAUGCCGCGUGAGUGAUGAAGGCCCUAGGGUUGUAAAGCUCUUUCACCGGUGAAGAUAAUGACGGUAACCGGAGAAGAAGCCCCGGCUAACUUCGUGCCAGCAGCCGCGGUAAUACGAAGGGGGCUAGCGUUGUUCGGAUUUACUGGGCGUAAAGCGCACGUAGGCGGACUAUUAAGUUAGGGGUGAAAUCCCGGGGCUCAACCCCGGAACUGCCUUUGAUACUGGUAGUCUUGAGUUCGAGAGAGGUGAGUGGAAUUCCGAGUGUAGAGGUGAAAUUCGUAGAUAUUCGGAGGAACACCAGUGGCGAAGGCGGCUCACUGGCUCGAUACUGACGCUGAGGUGCGAAAGCGUGGGGAGAAAACAGGAUUAGAAACCCUAGUAGUCCCAUGA
This 453-nucleotide ribosomal RNA is filed under the name uncultured organism. Its description in RNAcentral is "partial 16S ribosomal RNA". It matches the Rfam family "Bacterial small subunit ribosomal RNA", at positions 331 to 800 of the family's 1533-position model. The record is from RNAcentral.